ACUCAAUUUCAUCGAAAAUGUUUAAGCUAAAUUUAUUUUUGAUCGUAACUGUGGCAGUGGCUUUGAUUGUCACUAAAGCUAGCGCUCAGGAUGACGGAAAAGAUUGUCUUGGCAACAUGGAGGAUUGCAACGAGGACAGCGAAUGUUGCAUGGGACAUUGUCAAGAUUGGGUGGUUAAAAAAUCAUGCUAUGAACCACCUAAACCUUCUGGAUCUCAAGAAUCAGAUGACUCUGACGAAUAGGGUCCUGUAUUCGGGUGAUGUCAAUAAUGUCAUAUAAAAAAAAAUAUUUUGACCAAGUGACCAAUGAAAAAUUGCCGUCUGUUUAUUAAACUAUUGACAUCCAUAUUUUUUUUUUAAAUAUUAAAAUUAAAAAAAAAAUUCGUUCGAUUUUGUUCCAUUUGUUCCAUGUUAUUUGAUAUAUAUUUAGAAUGAUUAUUAAAUAAAUAAUGUUGAUAUCUA
Molecule: long non-coding RNA, 461 nt
Organism: Microplitis demolitor
Lineage: Eukaryota; Metazoa; Arthropoda; Insecta; Hymenoptera; Braconidae
Exons: 2
Source: RefSeq, a predicted model, not a curated record